This 253-nucleotide ribosomal RNA is filed under the name uncultured bacterium. RNAcentral's name for it is "partial 16S ribosomal RNA". It matches the Rfam family "Bacterial small subunit ribosomal RNA", at positions 524 to 776 of the family's 1533-position model. The record is from RNAcentral.
GACGUAGGGCGCGAGCGUUGUCCGGAUUUAUUGGGCGUAAAGAGCUCGUAGGCGGCUUGUCGCGUCGUUCGUGAAAACCUGCAGCUCAACUGCAGGCUUGCGGUCGAUACGGGCAGGCUAGAGUUCGGUAGGGGAGACUGGAAUUCCUGGUGUAGCGGUGGAAUGCGCAGAUAUCAGGAAGAACACCCGUGGCGAAGGCGGCUCUCUGGGACGGUACUGACGCUGAGACGCGAAAGCGUGGGGAGCGAACAGG